Molecule: ribosomal RNA, 497 nt
Filed under: uncultured bacterium
Lineage: Bacteria
Description: partial 16S ribosomal RNA
Rfam family: Bacterial small subunit ribosomal RNA
Source: RNAcentral
GAUGAACGCUGGCGGCGUGCCUAAUACAUGCAAGUCGAGCGAACGGACGAGAAGCUUGCUUCUCUGAUGUUAGCGGCGGACGGGUGAGUAACACGUGGAUAACCUACCUAUAAGACUGGGAUAACUUCGGGAAACCGGAGCUAAUACCGGAGAAUAUUUUGAACCUCAUGGUUCAAAAGUGAAAGACGGUCUUGCUGUCACUUAUAGAUGGAUCCGCGCUGCAUUAGCUAGUUGGUAAGGUAACGGCUUACCAAGGCAACGAUGCAUAGCCGACCUGAGAGGGUGAUCGGCCACACUGGAACUGAGACACGGUCCAGACUCCUACGGGAGGCAGCAGUAGGGAAUCUUCCGCAAUGGGCGAAAGCCUGACGGAGCAACGCCGCGUGAGUGAUGAAGGUCUUCGGAUCGUAAAACUCUGUUAUUAGGGAAGAACAUAUGUGUAAGUAACUGUGCACAUCUUGACGGUACCUAAUCAGAAAGCCACGGCUAACUACGUG